Pseudobacteroides cellulosolvens is the source of this 98-nucleotide regulatory RNA element. It matches the Rfam family "pan motif". Lineage: Bacteria; Bacillati; Bacillota; Clostridia; Eubacteriales; Oscillospiraceae. The record is from Rfam.
UCGGCGGUAUCUAUAUUAAAAGUGUUAAUUGAACUGCACGGAUAAAUAAACAUUAUUUUUGCAAACUGCUUUGAGCCCUAAGGGACAGAGACAGGUCA